CCGGUAGGCGUGAGCCCACAACUGAAACCAAACACAAGCCUUCAGCUUAAAAAUCACUCACACACACACACAUUAAAUCUGAACAACUGUUCUGACCGCUGUCGAGAGACAAGAAAUUGAGGAUGGCUUUGGUUGUGGAAGGACUUUAUUGCACAGCUGCUGGUUUCGGAUGUACGAGCCUGGCUUUAACCCCAACUGGUUUACUCAUAGUAGCAGCUGCAGCAGUGGUGAUAGUGGGAUUGUCCUUGUACUUUGCACAUAAGAACAAGAAAAAUAAGAACUGACUGAUGAGUUCAUUCCCCUGGAGUUGACUGCAAAAGAUCAAUGGAAUCGUAACUCCACAAUAAAAACAAAGAUGGCUGAUAAUCUGUGGUUUUGAAGUACAUUUUUGUGUUGACUCCCAUCCUACACCUUCUGUUGGAAAGUAACCUAUAGAUGUUUAUAGCACACAAUCUUAUGCUUUUUCAGCAUCCAAUAAAAUAUAUGCAAUUGAAGUAUACAAUUACUGAAGAGAACAAAAUAUAUCAAGUAGACACCUUAUGUUAUCUGAUGAGAUAUUUUACUAAUAAAUCCCAUCAGAUCAGGACGAAUAAGAGAUGUGAACACUUUGUCUAUUCUAUAGAUCUAAGCUGAUUUAUGUCAAGCUGAUUGAUGUGAACAGUCAUAUGGAUCCUUAUCCUUCCUAAAAAUAAGGUAAUAAUGGCUUGUGAUCUGCGAUGAACUGGCGACCUGUUCAGCGUGCACCCUGCCUUUCGCACAAUGUCAGCUGGGAUUGGCUCCAACCCCCGCGACCCUGUACGCAGGAUGAGCAGUAGAUAAUGGAUGGAUGGAUGGCUUGUGAUAAAGAAGGGAGCAGUUCUCCUUUUCUUAAAGCUUCCGUAAACAUCUGCAUCAUCAGGUGUAUAAGUUCAGCCAUGUAGCAUUUAAAGAACCCCUGGCAAUUUACCAGAAGCUAAUAUCUUUAUUAUAUUUUCCCACCCUCUCCUUAAAGCUUGGAAAAUGUUUUUUAGAUGUUAAAUAAAUUACAGUCAAAUUGACAUCUCAAUAUUUCAGUAGAUGCUCAUCAAAACUUGUGGUGUCAUAAGAAACUUUACCAUACACUAUAUACUAUAGUUCAAUACAAUGGUAUACCGUAGUUGUACCAUGGUACCUCAGAUAUAACCAUGAUACAUACCACAGUACCUUAGAUACAACCAUGGUACAUUCUGCAGUACCUCAGAGAUAACCAUGGUACAUUCUGCAGUACCUCAGAUUUUACCUUGGUUCCUCAAAUAUAACUAUGGGAUCAUGAUAAUUAUUCCCAUUGGUAUUGUACACUGUACCCACACAAGUAUAGUAACUGACUGAAGGGGGCGCAUGGCCCAUUGUGUUAGCUAACAAGUAGUUUUACUUUUGAUACUUUAAGUAUACACAAAAAAUCCUCCUAGUCAAAGAAUUAUACUUUAUUUUAUCACAUGUGCAUAUUAGUUUGCACCAUGGUAGGCCUACUGUCAAAAAACUACAGAACCUUACAUGUACUAUGGUACUGUCAAAGAAACCAUGGAACCAGUACCAUAGUAGUCUCAUAGUAUGAUUAUCAUAACACCACCAUGGUACUCAUACCAAAAUGGCUUACAGCUAAAAAAACAACUUCAGUGUUUCCCACAUAUAGACUUUACUUGGGCGGGCUGCCCAGGUACAUUUGGCAACCCAUUUUAGUAUUUUGCUGAGAAACACAGAGAGAGAUGUUUUCUGUUACAAAACACAGACACAGACCAAGCACGGACCAGGUAAAGUAACGGUGAACAGUGAACACACCAGUGCAGAUGUCAUUCUGAACCACUGAAAUAAGGUGGAGAGUAACAAUGAAUCUGAAAGAGUCUGCCUAAAGGGGUGUGGUUCAGCACACAUCAUCCGGUUGGGCAUGGACUGGCCUGAAGGAGGGGGCAGGGCUAAAAUGUAAUGAGAAAACUCUAGGUGUUAAAGCAUAGAUUUCAUUGCAUGUAAACAUUUGUUUUUGUGUCCUAAAAAAAUUAAUCUGAUUUGUGGGUGUGUCAUUUCUUAGAAUGUGUUUGAUUUUUGUGUGUGUGUGUGUGUGUGUGUGUGUGUGUGUGUGUGUGUGUGUGUCACUUCUGGAUGCUUCUGGAUAUAGACCAAAUAAACAAAUGUCAAAAGCUAGAGCAUCAAAGCUUUUUGACAAUUUAGGUUUAGGAAUUUAAGUGAAUACCACAGAGGGACUUUAAUGUGCAAACACAGAGUCAGUAGAUGAUGAAGAGGUUUCAUUAUUCUUGGUUUGGGCAAUGUUCACUCACUGCCUCCUUCUCACGGUCAAUGAUGGUCUCCUGCUCCUCAAAGUGCUUCAACUUGAUCUCCAGCUUCUUCAUCUGGGUCUGCACCAGCAGAGCCACCAGGGACUUGAUCUUCCUCUCUUCUACUGCCGCCAAGUGCUGCAAAUACAUGUGGCUAAGAUGGAAGAAGUUAGAAGAAAUGAGAGUAAGUGCAUGGGACAGUUCAGAAGGAAGGAAAUUGGAGGUAAAUGUAACGGGGUAGACCUGUAUCAGCCAAUUUUGAGUGCAGUGGUAGUGUGAGGGGUGAGCACUUAGAGCGAGUGUGCAUUUGGUGGUUGUGGUUUUGCACUUGGGUUAAUUGCAUGGGUAUGGACUAAUGGCAGACAGGUGUGCUUGGGCAUGACAACCAUCUGCAAACAAUUUAACCAGCCACCCACUGGGCUCAAGAGUCUUCUGUUUGUCUCCUGUGUGCAGGUACAGAGUGAUUUUGACUGUCUUCUUCCCUGGGGGGUAGCUUUUGUUAUGUGGGCUGGUGGUAGUGUCUGAUGUGUCUAAUGUUGUUCACAGUCUUCUGUUUGUUUCCUGUGUGCAGUGUGCGGGUGUGCUGAGGCUGCUGAUUCUUUGCAAGAGUGUGGUACACGGCUGGGUCGUGGUCUGGGGAGCUGCCAGUGUAGCGCCACCGCUACUUAGUAGAGUUACCAGAGGCCCAAGCAGUGAGGCUACAACCAACCAGCCUGUGACCAACAGCAGACCCGUUCCUGUUGUGUUUAGCUUCGCCCACGCAGGAAGACGAAGUUGAGCACACCCAGCCAUGACGAACUGCAGUUCCGUUUAACUAACAGUUUCCCCCAUUUGAACUCUCUUUUUAACUAUCUUAGCCUCAGUCUUGUUUUAACCCUUUGCAUGUCUAUUUUAUACAAAUAAAUUUGGAGGUUAUAUUUUGUA
Micropterus salmoides (largemouth bass) is the source of this 3212-nucleotide long non-coding RNA. RefSeq lists it as uncharacterized. The record is from RefSeq and is a predicted model, not a curated record. Lineage: Eukaryota; Metazoa; Chordata; Actinopteri; Centrarchiformes; Centrarchidae. The transcript has 3 exons.